CUUUUACUUUAGAGAGAAUUCACGGUGCCGGACAUUCUGUCAGAAUGGGCCUUACUCAUCCCGUCGACCCUUCUCCUGCUAAGAUUGAUCUCUCGAGUUUGAAUGCCCGAGAUAGGAGAAGGAUCAGAGAAGCAGACAAGAAGGUAAAAGAUCAGAUCUCCCAGAUUGGAAAAAACAAGAAAAAUGCAUCCUCCGCCGGGGACGACAAAAUCUACCAAAAGCUCUUUUAGUUGACGACAGGUCCCUUGAAGGUUCAAAGUCAAUGGCGGUUACCAUAAACAAUGCUCCUCCCUCCACCCUAGCAGCGGACAAUAUGAUCGCUACUACUGCUGAAGAGGAAGGUAUUACAGGCGAUUCUUCUUUCAUGAAGAAGAGGAAGGCUGAGGAACUCGAACCCCCGCUCUAGGGACGACCCAAGAGCACAAGGAAAGACAGAGCCGCUCCUUUGAACUCGUCAAUUCCUGAAUCUGCUGAAGCUCAUGAUGAAAACCCUGAUUCAGGAAUUGUUUUAAAGGAACCACUGAGUUCAGGGAUGCUACCCCCUAGACGUAUUCGAGGUAAUACCUCUAGAGCUCGAUCAUCUCUGAGCUCAUGACUUGUUUCCAUAGCUUCAUCCCAAUCAGGUAACCUUCAAUUAACAUUUUGUUACUUGAGAUUAACCGACCUUUUAGGAGGAUCAAUCCUCACAUAAAUAUCUUUCUUUUAGAUAAAGAGAAGAUUGGAAAUGUUUCACACUCGCUUUGGGAAGAAACUUCCGUCCUUUGAGUGCUGGAGGCCUGACAUCAAGAAGAUGUAUAUCAGUCAUUCAUUCCACUGCUCCCAGGUUUGACUAUUCGAAUCCUUAAACAACCGAUUUUGAAUCCUUUUUUUUUUUUAAUGCAUCUUCUUUUAUCAGGCAACUCUGGAUGUGAACAACAUCAUCAACCAUUACGAAGAGGAGCUUGCCAAAGUUUCCAAGAAACCUACUUUGCUGAAGGAGAGAUCGAGAAACUAUAAUCUUCCAAUCGGCAUGUGCAGGAGACUGCUGGUCUCGACUCGGCUCAUCGGGAAGAAAUCGAGCGACUCGAGAGAUCUGGCGAGGAGACAAAGAAGAAUUUGACUAAGACAGAGCAAAAACUAAAAAUUGUCCUUGCUGAUCAUGACUUUGCGAGAGGUAAGAUCGAGAUUCUGAAAUCAGAGCUCAGUAAGGUCAAAACAGUCGCUGAGGAGCUCGAACGCAAAAAUGAGUCUUUUUCCACACUGAAAGAUCAAAAUGUUCGCAAGAUAUCUCAUGAUGCUCGGAAAGAGGUUAAAGGAGCCGGACAAAAGUUCCUUCUUGCUGUGCAAGAAUUUAUCUUCGCGGACAAAGCUUGGAACAAACUUAAAUCCGAGCUUGAUGAGAUGAAGAGCAAUCUUGAUCUGAUCAAGGAGAUAGAGGAAGGAACAGUCAAUUUGGCCGAAGAAAAGGAGACAGUUAGCGCUGAACUCGCGGAGUUUGCUUCUCAGUUCGCUGAUUCCCCUCCAUUGACCGAACCUAAUACCGGUUUGUCUUUGGAUGAGAUGAUGUUAACUGGUUCUCCCCGUGCUCAUUUUAAUGAGUUCGGAACCAAUGUUGACAGAAUUUCUUUGGGACGAACUCAGGGGUUCCCUGGUCAGGAUCCUGCCAUCUCCUCGAUAAUAGGAGAUGACUUUGAGGAGAGAUAGGCUGAUCAGACCUACUUGCCUUUUUUAAAGAAAAAACAUUAGAAUUUUUCCUCGGUCUCUCGGUUGCGAGGUUAGAGCUCGGCUUACAAGAACACUUCGCGAUACUUCAAAAUGUUUUCGAAAAGAAAACUUUUCAGUGAGAACUGUUUGCCUUUCUUAAAAGACGAAAAAGGUAUGAUACCAUUUAUUGAUUGUCCUUGAAUUUCUCGUUCGAAAUUAAGUUCGCCUACUAGGUGUUAAGUGGUACUUGAAUAACCUAUAUUUCGUAGGUCUUGUUUGUGCAUGUACGCGAAAAUCGAAAGGUUGUAACUGUCAGAUCAGUAGAUUGACGUUUAACUUCCUUUUUCAAUAAAUACUCAAGUGAGUGCUCAUAUAUAUUUUUUCUAUAUAAGGAGAGUUUUGGAAUUUUUCCAAUAAAUAUUUUCUUCGUAAGGAACUUUGCAGUUCUUCUUUUCUAGAUUCCUUAUUUACGAUGGCCUCUCCCCCGGGCGAACCUUCUGAUCCUAAUCCACCACGAUUCCCUUCGAGUGAAUCCCUGUUUCCGACGGGGGAUGGAUUUACUCCACACGGGGUGGCCAUUCCUUGUUUUGUUUCUUCCAUGUCUAAGGAAGGAAAGAUCUAGUGCCAUGAAUUCAUGGAACAGGUUUGACCUCGAUACUAGUUGUUUCAAGGUUUUACCCGAUAGAUUCGUAAUGCAUCUGUUCUUUGAAGAUCACCGAAAGGUACGUUUUCCUCUGCUCCGAAAGGCAACGCCUUGGAAGGAAACGCCAUGUCCUCGAGGACAGGAUUGCUAGAACUAAAAGGAAGAUCCGACGUUUGGAGUCGGAUGUUCAUAAUUGGGAGAGGAGGGGAUUUGACUCUAUCGCUCGCAUUCCCGGCUGCCUUCGAAAACACAUCAGGUUUUUGAAGAAGCAUUGGGAUAUCUACCAGAGGAGCCUCGAACCCGGCGAACGCGAAAGCGGUUCGUCUUCUGACGAAGUUCCUUCUGCGAACUCUCCUCCCUCUUAGUUAUUAUUAUUAUUUUGUAACAGACUAUUGGGCUAAUGGCCCGGCAAUAUUAAUUAUAUUUCCCCUUUUGCUUUAAAUUUGCCGAUUUACUUAAAUCUUAUUUAACGCGUUUAAUCUAGGGAAUAUAAUUAGCGAUUAACUCGAUUACAUUUUCCAUGAAGGUAGUAAUUUCAGAUUUGGGAAAUCGUCAAUUAAUCCUCUUAAAUGUGGUUGAGUAUUUUUCGAUUACAAAGUAGGUGUAGUUCAUUAUUGAAUUUUAUCAACAAUAAUUCUACAAAAAUGUUCGAGGAAAGUAAUUCUUCAGAGAAUCCCUCCGACUCAUUCAAAACGAUAAGCAAUGAUCUUCCGGGAAUGUCAGACAUCGAGCUUGUAAAAGCAGAAGCAACUAGCGAACCAGAAGAGUCACGUACAUUAGGGUGGGGAACCAGCAUUCAGGUUCCGAUCGUGUUAAUCGAGAGAUUAUCAGCUCAAGAUCGUGUCAAGGCUGAAGAGUUUAUUACCAAGGUAUUGUCCAACCUAGUGAUUUUACUCCCUUUGUUAUUACUAAACGAAGCGUCUUAUUUUCCUCAGCUUAUCACUCGACACAACGAGCUCGAAGGUGACAAAAUUGAGAUUAGAAAAAGAAGAAUGGAACUAGAGAAACGUCGCCUCGACAUUGCUCGCAAACUUCAUGGAUCGAGAUACGCAUCCAGGAGUAAGGAAACAUGCUGGGUUGCAUUCUGAGCAUCGUUGACCUCGCAGGCCAAGGAGCAGAUCUAUUCCGUAAUCCAAGACCCUUCUAGAUCUGGUUUUUUGCUUAGGUAAAAAUAUUUAUUUAUACAUUGUUCGCAACGUAUUUAAUAUUUAUGCUAAAUGACCGAGUUUAUUAAAAACAAGACUCCAUGAUUGGAAUAAUAUUUUUAUUUUUAUAGUUGGACUCGUGUUUAGCGAGCUGUCUACGUACCCAAAAUAGGAUCAAGCCAAAUCAUAGUUCGAUAUGUUUGUUUUAGCAAUAGAACUUUUUCAAGUUGAUGAUGUUCCAAGGCCUUUGAACGGGGUUACCGUCAAGGUCUUUUAAACGGUAUACACUAUUUCGGAUUCUUUCUGUGAUUUGAUAAGGGCUUUCCCAGUUAAUACCGAGUUUUCCAGCUCCUUCUUCUUUUGUGUUAUCGAACACUCGCCUUAAAACAAAGUCUCCUACAUUUAAAGGUCUGUUUUUCAACUUUGAGUUAUAGUAUCGAGCGGUCAACUGCUGAUAGUUCUGAUGUCGAAUAAGGGAUUGGUCUCGCCUUUCAUCAAUUCUAUCGAAAACUUCUUCUAAUAACUUAGAAUUUAGUUCUUCGUUAAGUGGAGCUUCGCUCCGGCGUAAACCGGGAACAUUCAGCUCUGCUGGGACUACUGCUUCCAUCCAAUAUACUAACGAGGAUGGAGUUUCUCCCGUUGCUCGCCUUGGGGUUGUUCGAUAUGACCACAACACAAGUUGUAGCUCGUCAUACUAACCACCUUUUCGAGCACUCAAACGUUUUUUAAGAUUGCUGAGAAUGGUUUUAUUGGAAGCUUCCGCUUGCCCAUUUCCUUGAGGAUACCUCGGCGCUGAAUAGCUAAGUUUUAUCCCCCAAGAGGAACAAAAAUCUUCAAAGUCAUUGAAAUGAACUGAGGACCGUUGUCCGUUACAAUUUCGUAAGGAACUCCAUGGCGACAAACAAUGUGUUUCCACAAGAAUGUCUUUACCACAGAAUCUUGUAUGUUUACGUAAGCUUCAGCUUCGAUCCAUUUGGAAAAAUAGUCCGUUAGAACUAAUAAAUAUUGGACACCUCGCGUUGAGCGAUGCAUCAGACCAACUAUAUCCAUUGACCAUCUCAUGAAAGGGUAUGGAGCAGUUAUAGAUGAUAAAAAUUCAGAUGGCUGGUGAAUGAGAGGAGCGUGCAUCUGGCAUUUUUUACAUCGUUUGGCGUAAUCGAUGCAGUCAAAAAUCAUAGUUGGCCAGAAAUAUCAUAACCGUUUGAUUUUAAAAGCCAUUGCUCGUCCCGAAGAAUUACUACCGCAAAGUCCUUCGUGGACAUCGCUUGUAACUUUUUCAACUUCGGGCCCGAAAAUACAAAAAAGAUAAGGGUCACUGACACCUCGCUUGUACAAUGAUUCUUUUACUAUGCAAUACUUAGCGCUGAUGAUUCUCAAUUUGCGAGCUUGCCAUUUGUUCGAUGGUAGUUCUCCAUUAAGAAUGAAAUUUUUGAUGGGUACCCUCCAGUCAGCCCCCCAAUCAUCAGCAGAAGUAUUAUCCUUGAGUAUAAACUUCCUUGAUUCCGGCUCGGAAGGAAUAUCAGGAUUAUUUUCGACUGUUACCAGAACUUUUUCAUUAUUUGCGGUAUCCGGAAGUGACUGUUCAGCUCGAGAUGGUUCUUUAAUGGGAACCUCUUGAUCUUUUAGUUUUCAUCUCGGCUUUGUUUUAGGAAGUUCCGGUUGUGGAGUAAGUUCGUCAUCUUGAGACUUUGUUCGUGAUCUAGUGACAACAAGCGAACUGUUCUUCUUGUCGAAAUUUAAUUCUGGAGCUUCGAUAUGCUCGAGUUCCAAAAUAUUAUCAUUUCCUGUUUCUUCAUCUGAAAUACUUCGUGAAGUAAUACAUUCAACUUGGAAUCACUCGCUUGAGUUCGGGAUCUGAGGGAGAAGCUAGGGCAGCUAAAGCGUCUGCCAAAGUGUUCUCGCCUCGAGGUAUUCGAACCAAUUCCAAUUCUUUGAAUUUUCCGGCUAAAUUUUUGACAGCCGAAAGAUAAGCUUCCAUUCGAGCCUUAGCUUCGUAAUCUCCAACGAACUGGUUUACAACUAGCUGAGAAUCACAAUAAGCUAUUAUUUUUUUUGCUCCAAUUGCAAGAGCAAGCCGAAGUCCUGCUAAGAGAGCUUCGUAUUCCGCUUCAUUGUUCGAAGCCGGGAACAUUAAUCGAAAUGAUUGUUCGAUUAUUUCCUUUUUCGGAGUUUCGAGCCUAAUACUGAUUCCGGAUCCUUGCUUAGAAGAAGAGCUAUCUACAUGUAAUUUUCAUGUGAAGUCUGUUUCGAUAAGGACUCCAUCAUCUAAUGGUAAUUCGGUUAGAAAACCAGCCAGAACUUGUGCUUUUGCGCUAGUUCGACUUUUAUAUUCUAUAUCGUACUCACUGAGUUCGAUUGCCCAUUUCGCCAAUCUACCGGACUGACUUGGUCCGUGAAGAAUUGAGCGAAGUGGAUGAGAAGUUAAAACUUCUAUCGGAUGAGAUUAAAAAUAAUGUCUGAGUUUUGUAGCAGAUACGACUACUGCUAAAGCUAAUUUUUCCAUCAUGGUAUAUCUCGUUUCUGGACUAGUAAGAGAUUUACUUACGUAGAAAAUCGGCUUUUGGUCACCUCGGUCCUCUCGAACUAAAACCCCACUUAAAGAAUGAAUAGAAACUGAAAUGUAAAGAUAAAGUUUCUCAUCUGACUCAGGUUUUGAGAGAACCGGCUUUGUUGUCAGGUAAGUUUUGAGUUGAUCGAAAGCUGCUUCGCAUUGAUCAUCCCACUGAAAUUUUUUGUUCCCUUUUAAAAUUUGAUAAAAAGGGAGACAUUUAUGUGUCGAUUUCGAAAUGAAACGAUUCAGCGCAGCAAUUCUACCCGUCAAUCGUUGGAUUUCUUUGAUGUUUUUUGGUGAAGGCAUUGAAAGGAAAGCGUUAAUCUGAUUGGGAUUCUCCUCUAUUCCUCUUUCUGUGAUUAUGUAACCUAGGAAUUCUCCGGAAGGCACACCAAAAGAACAUUUAGCUGGAUUUAAUUUCAUUCCAAACUCAUUUAAAAUUUGAAACACUGCUCAAGAUGAGUGAUGUGCUCGGAUUUCUUAAGAGACUUCACGAGCAUAUCAUCGAUAUAAAGCCCAAAUGUUUUGCAAACAUUUUGUUAACUAAACGUUUGUAUGUUGCUCCGGCAUUUUUUAAACCGAAUGGCAUAACUUUGUAACAGUAGAUUCCUCUAUCUGUUAUGAAAGAUGUUUUCUCUUCAUCUUCGGGAUUCAUCAUGAUCUGAUUAUAUCCAGAAAAUGCAUCCAUAAAUGAUAAGAGUUCAUUUUCGGCCGUUGAUUCUACAAGCCGAUCAAUAUGAGGGAGAGGAAAGCUGUCUUUCGGACAUGCUUUGUUAAUGUCAGUGAAAUCGACGCAUACUCUCCACUUUUCAUUCUUCUUUUUGACUACCACGGGGUUUGCUAACCAGUCCGGGUACUUUACUUCUCUAAUGGAACCAAUUUUCAAAAGCUUAUCAACUUCGUCAUUGACCGCUUGAGCUCGGUCAGGACCCAGUUUUCUUCUUUUCUGCUUUAUUGGUUUAAAACUGGGAUCGAUAUUUAAUUUAUGGGUAAUGAUACUUGUGUCGAUUCCGGGCAUAUCUUUUGCCGACCAGGCAAAAGUAUUUUUUAUUUUCCUUUAGAAAUGUUACCAAAUGAUCUUUGAUUUCUGAAUCUAAAGUAGUGCCGAUUUUUACUUUUCGAUCUGGAAAUUCGGAAUCAAUUUCCACUUCUGUGUUAACUUCAUUCGAACUGA
This 7196-nucleotide long non-coding RNA is filed under the name Arabidopsis lyrata. Its description in RNAcentral is "long non-coding RNA (ALYR_LNC000496)". Lineage: Eukaryota; Viridiplantae; Streptophyta; Magnoliopsida; Brassicales; Brassicaceae. The record is from RNAcentral.